CAUGAAGCUUUACCCUAACUUCCCGAAUCUGAGAAUGGCGAUCCUCUAAUCCUUUGAAUUCAAGCAAGUAUAUGGCGAAGAUUCUGGAACAGAUGCCAGGCAAGAGUCAGGAAAAGAACAUGGUCAAAGUACAUUACAACUUGGGAGUGGGGGGGGGAGGAGACUCAAGGUAUCGAUCACUCCUUGUGGAAUGUUUGUGAGGGUUACCAUGACUUCCCAACAUUCUGUAACUGCUUUAGCGUAAGAGUCCUCACACAAACGUCACAGCUCAGCAUCUCUGAACUGUCACCAUGUAACCUUUUUCUUGCCUGUUAUCGGUCUACUCGGAGGAUGAUUCAGGACCAGUCACUAAGCCAGUAACACUGUAACCUUUCCCCCAGAGUGUUUCCCCUGGAUCUGCAGAAGACGCCAGGCAAGCAGGCAAACAUCUUCCGCUAGCUUAUGGUAGACCAAGGUGCUCAUGAAGUUGUCUCACGGAAUUGUUGUCAAUGAGGAGAAAGAAACAAAUUCUGAGCAGAGACCUGCUUCAGUCAACAAGUCAGAUGGCUACUCAACCUGUCAGAGCUUCUGAGCCCAGAGAUUUUUCUGGAGGCAAAUCCUUCAUGGCCUCAGGCAGCCCAGACAGCUCCAAAGCUCGUGUCUGCAUCUGAGGGCCGGUGUCGCACUGAAGCAAGUCAUCUCAGCUUCCCUCCAGCCUUCCCGCCAUGCUUCCUGUGGCAGGCUCACAAGGACCCCACCUCAGUGUGCCUCCUCCUCAAGACCACUUGUGACCUUCAAAAUGACAGCUGCUAAGGAUGCCGAAGCCUGGUCAGACAAGCUCCUCACCAACUCUGGAGCUCAGUGGCUGUAUCAGUGUGGAUGGGAAAGGCAUCUGGUUUCACUAAUGGUUGCCAGUGUCUCCUUCAGUGGCACACACCACAACGGCCGCAUCGGCGGUAGUCUCUGGAAGCAACAUAGCUAUUUCCAGACCUGUUCAAGUUGUGUCAGGUGGUUGAAAAUGUCAUUAAACCCAUUACUGCUCCAAAAUUACAGUCAUUAUUGAAACCCGCUCCUAGACCUUGUUAUUUAGUAUGUUAAUAAACAAGGAUUCCUAGAA
Molecule: long non-coding RNA, 1096 nt
Organism: Peromyscus maniculatus bairdii (prairie deer mouse)
Lineage: Eukaryota; Metazoa; Chordata; Mammalia; Rodentia; Cricetidae
Source: RefSeq, a predicted model, not a curated record